Molecule: ribosomal RNA, 253 nt
Filed under: uncultured bacterium
Lineage: Bacteria
Description: partial 16S ribosomal RNA
Rfam family: Bacterial small subunit ribosomal RNA
Source: RNAcentral
UACAGAGGUCCCAAGCGUUGUUCGGAUUCACUGGGCGUAAAGGGUGCGUAGGUGGCGGGGUAAGUUUGAUGUGAAAUCUCCGGGCUUAACCCGGAAACUGCAUUGAAUACUAUUCUGCUCGAGGUUUGGAGGGGGGACUGGAAUUCUCGGUGUAGCAGUGAAAUGCGUAGAUAUCGAGAGGUACACCAGUGGCGAAGGCGAGUCCCUGGACAACACCUGACACUGAGGCACGAAAGCUAGGGGAGCAAACAGG